RNAcentral lists this ribosomal RNA (253 nucleotides) under uncultured bacterium. RNAcentral's name for it is "partial 16S ribosomal RNA". It matches the Rfam family "Bacterial small subunit ribosomal RNA", at positions 524 to 776 of the family's 1533-position model. The record is from RNAcentral.
UACGUAGGGGGCAAGCGUUGUCCGGAUUUAUUGGGCGUAAAGCGCGUGUAGGCGGCCCGGUAAGUCCGCUGUGAAAGUCGGGGGCUCAACCCUCGAAUGCCGGUGGAUACUGUCGGGCUAGAGUACGGAAGAGGCGAGUGGAAUUCCUGGUGUAGCGGUGAAAUGCGCAGAUAUCAGGAGGAACACCAAUUGCGAAGGCAGCUCGCUGGGACGUAACUGACGCUGAGACGCGAAAGCGUGGGGAGCAAACAGG